RNAcentral lists this ribosomal RNA (481 nucleotides) under uncultured bacterium. RNAcentral describes it as "partial 16S ribosomal RNA". It matches the Rfam family "Bacterial small subunit ribosomal RNA", at positions 28 to 507 of the family's 1533-position model. The record is from RNAcentral.
GACGAACGUUGGCGGCGUGCUUAAUACAUGCAAGUCAACUGAAGCAGUGGUAGCAAUAUCGCUGUGGAGGUGGCGCACGGGUGAGUAACACGUAGGUAAUCUGCCUUCAGGUCUGGCAUAACUCCGGGAAACCGGGGCUAAUAGCAGAUGAUGCAGCGGCUCGACAUCGAGACAGUUGUUAAAGCUAUGGCGCCUGAAGAUGAGCCUGCGUCUGAUUAGCUAGUUGGCGGGGUAACGGCCCACCAAGGCAACGAUCAGUAGCUGGUCUGAGAGGAUGAUCAGCCACACUGGAACUGAGACACGGUCCAGACACCUACGGGAGGCAGCAGUAAGGAAGAUUGCUCAAUGGGAGAAAUCCUGAAGCAGCAAAGCCGCGUGAAGGACGAAGGGCUUUUGCUUGUAAACCUCUGUAGUGAGAGAAAAAAAUCCCAAUCUUUGGGACAUGAUGGUAUCUAAAAAGUAAGCCCCGGCUAACUACGUG